UUCUUGAAUCAAGUAAAAUUUCCUUAAACCAAGAAUUUUUCUACUCAAAUCAAGAAUAUCAAGUUCUUCAACAUUAUAUACUUUAUUCAAGUACAUUUUUUUCUGUGUAAAAAAAAAAAUUAAGAAAAUUA
Cotesia glomerata is the source of this 131-nucleotide long non-coding RNA. RefSeq lists it as uncharacterized. The record is from RefSeq and is a predicted model, not a curated record. The transcript has 3 exons. NCBI's taxonomy places the organism in Eukaryota, Metazoa, Arthropoda, Insecta, Hymenoptera, Braconidae.